GAUGAACGCUCGCGGGAGGCCUAACACAUGCAAGCCGAGCGGUAUUGUUUCUUCGGAAAUGAGAGAGCGGCGUACGGGUGCGUAACACGUGUGCAACCUGCCUUUAUCUGGGGGAUAGCCUUUCGAAAGGAAGAUUAAUACUCCAUAAUAUAUUGAACGGCAUCGUUUAAUAUUGAAAGCUCCGGCGGAUAGAGAUGGGCACGCGCAAGACUAGCUAGUUGGUGAGGUAACGGCUCACCAAGGCGAUGAUCUUUAGGGGGCCUGAGAGGGUGAUCCCCCACACUGGUACUGAGACACGGACCAGACUCCUACGGGAGGCAGCAGUGAGGAAUAUUGGUCAAUGGGUGCAAGCCUGAACCAGCCAUCCCGCGUGAAGGACGACUGCCCUAUGGGUUGUAAACUUCUUUUGUAUAGGGAUAAACCUACCCUCGAGAGGGUAGCUGAAGGUACUAUACGAAUAAGCACCGGCUAACUCCGUG
Molecule: ribosomal RNA, 479 nt
Filed under: uncultured bacterium
Lineage: Bacteria
Description: partial 16S ribosomal RNA
Rfam family: Bacterial small subunit ribosomal RNA
Source: RNAcentral